AAAAUAAACUGCACAACUUAAAAAGAAUUCAAGUUAUUACAAACUUAGAUGACUCUAUUACAAAUACAAAUACAAAGGAAAUCUCUCCUUUUCACCAGAAUUAUGUUUAUGGACCUAGUUUUCAUAAAAGGGAAUACCCUACAAUGAAUCAUAGGAACAAUGUUAAAUUGGGGGAAUUUGUUCCUAGCCAAGAACCAGACAUCAAAUAAACUAUACCUAUGACUCAAGGAGCCCGUCACAAAAUCAAAGAUAUAACAACUAUAAAUAUCUUUGAUAAUUUAAAAUAGCAAAAUUGCGAUUCAAAUCCUAAAAAAAAAAAAAAAACAAACAAAAAAAAAAAAGAGGAAAUAACUAGACUAACUGCAAUGAUUUCCCUGUAUCUAGCCAAGCAUAUUUCAACAGAUCCAUGACCUCACUGAGGUGAGCACCAUCUCCAUUCCUAUAGAUCACCAUCCUAUCCACACUGUUUAAAAAUAUCCUGUUCAAUGUUAGUCCAUUCACAAAUUCUCUCCAGACUUUUAUGUUUUUGACAAACGUGAGCAUUUCCAUAACAAAAAAACAGAAAAAGAGGGCUGUAUACAUUAGUUCCAAAACAGUCCUGUUUGUUCUCUUCUGUUCCCUUUUCUUGACAUUUCAAUUUCUUUCUUCCUUCCCUUAUCACCAUCUCCAAAUUAAAUAAGAGUUAAACAAAAGACAUUCACACACCGACCGAGGAUCAAUCUGUCCCUUGCCUCCUUUACUCCUUCGCUGGGAUGUUUCAUUACCAGUGGUCACUGCAUCGAUAAGCAUUCUUAGUCUUCCAAAGUUCUUUUCUUUUUAGUGUUGCUGUUAUUUAUAAAUUGUUCUGGUUCCCUUCACUCUCAAUUCUUUUUCCCAGGUUUCUCUGAAAGUGUCCCUUUCAUCAUUCAUAAGACAUAAUUUGUUCACUCACUCCCCAACUACUAGGCAGUCUAUUCUAUAUCCAGUUCUCUAUGAAAAAAGCUACUACAAAUAUUUUUAUACAGAUGAGUCCUUUUCCUUUUAUCUUUUAGGAAGUUUUUGCCUAGUAGUGAUAUUAAUGAACCAAAGAGUAUGCUGUUUAUUGGAUCUUUUUUGCUUAGAAAUUCUUCAUAAAAGAUCCACCUAAAUCAUUACAGCACACUUGUUUUUAAACUAUUUUUAACUGAAUUUCAAUAAUUGGUUUUUUUUUGUAAUCUUGCUUAUUUAAACUUUUUUUCUUUUUGAUGAGGUGACUGGGGUUAGAUGACUUAGCCAGGCUACAAGAUUAGGAAGUAUUAAGUGUCUGAGGCCGGAUCUAAACUUAGGUCCUUUUAAUUUCAGGGCUGGUGCUCUAUUCACUGCAUUUAAUUAAUUUAAAAACAUUAUUCUGAGGAGUUCAUAUGCUGUCAAAAGGGCCCAAUAUGCAAAAAAAAUUAAGUAUACUUGCAUUAGAAGCCUUUCUCUGGUCUUUUAACAUUAUAAUGGUAGUUUAUCGAUGUUACCUCUUACUCUUGCUAUGGGAAUGCUCUGCCUCAAUUUUUUUUUUUUAAAUUUUUUAUUUAAUAAUUACUUUAUAUUGACACUCGUUUCUGUUCCGAUUUUUUUCCCCCCUCCCUCUCUCCACCCCCUCCCCUAGAUGGCAAGCAGUCCUUUAUAUGUUGGAUAUGUUGCAGUAUAUCCUAGAUACAAUAUAUGUUUGCAGAACCGAACAGUUCUCUUGUUGCUUAGGGAGAAUUGGAUUCAGAAGGUAUAAAUAACCCGGGAAGAAAAACAAAAAUGCAGAUAGUUUACAUUCGUUUCCCAGUGUUCUUUCUUUGGGUGAAGCUGCUUUUGUCCGUCAUUUAUCAAUUGAAACUCAGCUCUCUUUGUCAAAGAAAUCCACUUCCAUCAAAAUAUGUCCUCAUACAAUAUCGUUGUCGAAGUGUAUAAUGAUCUCCUGGUUCUGCUCAUUUCACUUAGCAUCAGUUCAUGUAAGUCUCGCCAGUCCUCUCUGUAUUCAUCCUGCUGGUCAUUUCUUACAGAACAAUAAUAUUCCAUAACAUUCAUAUACCACAAUUUACCCAGCCAUUCUCCAAUUGAUGGGCAUCCAUUCAUUUUCCAGUUUCUAGCCACUACAAACAGGGCUGCUACAAACAUUUUGGCACAUACAGGUCCCUUUCCCUUCUUUAGUAUUUCUUUGGGAUUCUGCCUCAAUUUUUAACAUUUCCUUGAUAAUUUUUUUCAACUUUUUUUUUUUUUUGCAUGAGAGUCAACAUUAGGAAUAUUUAUAUCCACUGUAUACUCCUUUCUUUUGGGUCACCCAUAGCUUUGAUUCUUCAGAGACAGUGAUGUUCUACAAUUUGCAGUGACAAAACAAGACUGAAAAAUACUAUUAACAAGAUGGCCCUGUAGAAAGCUGGAGCAUUGAUCAAGCAGCAAAAUGUCAUCCAAAAAUACAAGCAUAUGAAGAAUUUCACUACCAACAGAGAAUUCUUCUUCUGUUUAAGAUUCUACAUGGGGAAUUCUUCCAUGACCAUGAUAAAAUGGCACUUGUAUGAUUAUGUCUGUUGGUUUUAUUCUUAGUUUGAUUUUGGUAAUGUAUGUGUCACCUAACAAAGUCCUCUGUCAUUAAAUCUAUCUAGGAAUCUCACAUGAUCUUAACAUACACAGGAAUUAGGAGAAAGUUGUAUCCUUUUAAAGAAGGUAUACUUUGUUCAAAUAAGGUGUUUUUUUUUUCUUACAAAGGAAUAAACAAAUGAUGAGAUACUACUUUUUCAUUUCAGCUAUUAGUGUGAAUAUUGUGAUGUGCCUCUUUAUUUUUCAGGUUUUUAUCAAGGACACUUUUGAUACACUUAUAGCAUAUGUUAAAAGAUUUUUUAAAAAAGAAAACAUUAGUAUGUUUGUUUCUGUUGUAGGGCAUUGUUCAGCUACAAAUACUAUAAUUUUAUAGUGUUUGGUUUGUGGUCACUAUGAUCCUUCUUAUGAUACUUAUGAGAUGAGAUGAGAUUUGUUUCUAAUGCUUGUUAAAUGUGUCUCAGAAGUUUUGUAACCAUAAGAGCUAUCUUUCUUCUUAACAAUGUAAAUUAAUUUAUAUUACUACACGAUGUAAAAAUAUACAUAAACAUUUUAUAAUACCUUGCUGUAUUAAGAGUUGAGGCCUUUCACCCCCUCCAACUUAGGAUCCUUAUUCAUUGGAAAUUAUUUUUUACUUCCUAGAAAAUUUGAUUAAGUAUUCCUAUGCAGAAUGUGAAAAGUUUCAGUCCUGGGUCCUCUUUUCUUUCCCCUCAUAAUCUCAUGGGUUUAAGUAUUGUCUUAUGCAGAUUGAGGCCCAGUGUCUCUCUUGAGCUCUAGUCCCAUAUCACUAACUGCUUAUUGGACAUAGAUAUCCCACGGACAUCUCAAAUUUAAUAUGCUCACAAAAGAACUCAUUAUCUUUCCCUCAAAUCUACUUUUCUUCUGAGCUUCCCUAUUACUAUAGACUAUAUCCCCCCCUCUUCUCCAGUCAAGUCUUCUCCAUAGUUCAGAUACUUACCUCCUGUUUGAGCUUCCUGUCUCAAAUCUUUUCUCACUCAAAUCAUGAUUAUAUCACCACCCUCCAGGCCCCCAUUUUAUAAAUUUCAAUGAUCCAUUUUUACCUCUAAGAUCAAACACUAACAGCUCUUGUUAGGCAUUUAAAAUUCUUUACCACCUGAUCCCUUCCUAUUUCUUUGGUCUCCUCACAAGUUAUUCCCUUCUAUGAAUUUUAUGGUCCAUUUAGAGGAGUCCCCUUACUGCUCCCGAGAAAUACAUUCCUGUCUCUAUGCAUGUCUCCUGUGCUUUCCCUCCCACUUUGUGAUUACUAGAUUUCUUUAUAAUUCAUCUCAAAGCACCACAUUCUACAUGGCCUUUCUUGGUUCCCCCCUUUUCUCUUCUUAUUCAAGGUAUUCCUAAAUACAUGUUAUCUCUUCAGUUUGAAUUUAAGGUUCUUAAAAUCACGGACUUUUUCUACUUUUGUCUUUGCACUUGCAGUGCUUAACAUGACUAGGACAUAAAAAGCCAAUCACAAAUACUUGCUAACUGUUCAAUGAUUGAAAAGUUGUAAAAAAAAAAACUCCAUUAAAAAGACUUUGAUCUUUCAGUGGAGAAAACAGCUCAAGGUCAAUUUUUUUUAUGGCACUGAUAGGCAGAACUCUCUAGGUGUAUGCAUAACCACACACAUUAUCUGUAUAUUUACUUUUUUGCCUCAAAUAGUCUGGGGAAAGAGGCAUUCCAAUCCUAUGUUUUUCAUUCUUUUCAAUCAACUAUAAUGCUCAAAAACUCCAAAGCAUAGUCUGGAAAUGUAGGUAAAGAGAUAUUACUUUGUUUCCCCAUCAAUCAGACAGACCAUCUUUUUCAGCUCAUUUAAAAAACAAGAAUAUCAUUAAGAUACAGAAGAUAUGGGUGGUUAUUUGGGUAUGUGUUACUCCCCCUUGUCCCCCAAUCUAGAAGAACACUUGAAAUUAUAGCAUCCUUCCUGUCUCCAACUGACUAUAAGGAAUAACCUUUAAAAUUUUUGUUUGCAUAUAUAAGUUUCAUGUAUGUAGUUUUUUCUUAUCUCUAUCUUGAAUUCUAAUUUACUACAUAACCAAUUUUCUGGAGGAAUCUUUGCCAACAAAUAAAGAAAUGAAAUAGGUGACAAAA
Molecule: long non-coding RNA, 4617 nt
Organism: Antechinus flavipes (yellow-footed antechinus)
Lineage: Eukaryota; Metazoa; Chordata; Mammalia; Dasyuromorphia; Dasyuridae
Exons: 2
Source: RefSeq, a predicted model, not a curated record